GAUGAACGCUGGCGGCGUGCUUAACACAUGCAAGUCGAACGGAAAGGCCCAAGCUUGCUUGGGUACUCGAGUGGCGAACGGGUGAGUAACACGUGGGUGAUCUGUCCUGCACUUCGGGAUAAGCCUGGGAAACUGGGUCUAAUACCGGAUAGGACCACAUUUUGGAUGGUGUGGUGGAAAGUUUUUCGGUGUGGGAUGAGCUCGCGGCCUAUCAGCUUGUUGGUGGGGUAAUGGCCUACCAAGGCGUCGACGGGUAGCCGGCCUGGGAGGGUGUACGGCCACAUUGGGACCGAGAGACGGCCCAGACUCCUACGGGAGGCAGCAGUGGGGAAUAUUGCACAAUGGGCGCAAGCCUGAUGCAGCGACGCCGCGUGGGGGAUGACGGCCUUCGGGUUGUAAACUCCUUUCGCUAGGGACGAAGCGUUAUGUGACGGUACCUGGAGAAGAAGCACCGGCUAACUACGUG
RNAcentral lists this ribosomal RNA (466 nucleotides) under uncultured bacterium. RNAcentral's name for it is "partial 16S ribosomal RNA". It matches the Rfam family "Bacterial small subunit ribosomal RNA", at positions 28 to 507 of the family's 1533-position model. The record is from RNAcentral.